UGGGGAAUAUUGCACAAUGGGCGCAAGCCUGAUGCAGCCAUGCCGCGUGUAUGAAGAAGGCCUUCGGGUUGUAAAGUACUUUCAGCGGGGAGGAAGGCGAUAAGGUUAAUAACCUUGUCGAUUGACGUUACCCGCAGAAGAAGCACCGGCUAACUCCGUGCCAGCAGCCGCGGUAAUACGGAGGGUGCAAGCGUUCAUCGGAAUUCCUGGGCGUAAAGCGCACGCAGGCGGUCUGUCAAGUCGGAUGUGAAAUCCCCGGGCUCAACCUGGGAACUGCAUUCGAAACUGGCAGGCUAGAGUCUUGUAGAGGGGGGUAGAAUUCCAGGUGUAGCGGUGAAAUACGUAGAGAUCUGGAGGAAUACCGGUGGCGAAGGCGGCCCCCUGGACAAAGACUGACGCUCAGGUGCGAAAGCGUGGGGAGCAAACA
RNAcentral lists this ribosomal RNA (427 nucleotides) under uncultured bacterium. RNAcentral's name for it is "partial 16S ribosomal RNA". It matches the Rfam family "Bacterial small subunit ribosomal RNA", at positions 355 to 774 of the family's 1533-position model. The record is from RNAcentral.